RNAcentral lists this ribosomal RNA (378 nucleotides) under uncultured bacterium. RNAcentral describes it as "bacterial SSU rRNA". It matches the Rfam family "Bacterial small subunit ribosomal RNA", at positions 29 to 398 of the family's 1533-position model. The record is from RNAcentral.
AAUGAACGCUGGCGGCGCGCCUAAUACAUGCAAGUCGAGCGAGAAGACGUAGCAAUACGUUUGUAAAGCGGCGAACGGGUGAGGAAUACAUGGGUAACCUACCCUCGAGUGGGGAAUAACUAGCCGAAAGGUUAGCUAAUACCGCGUACGCUUCUUGGACUUCGGUUCAGGGAGGAAAGCGAUGCCGAGGGUAUCGCGCUCUUGGAUGGGCUCAUGUCCUAUCAGCUUGUUGGGAGGUAACGGCUCACCAAGGCUUCGACGGGUAGCUGGUCUGAGAGGACGAUCAGCCACACUGGCACUGCGACACGGGCCAGACUCCUACGGGAGGCAGCAGUAAGGAAUAUUGCGCAAUGGGCGAAAGCCUGACGCAGCGACGCC